AUCUAAUUGACGAGCCCGAAAUAGGACGAAACAUAUGUUCUGGAU
RNAcentral lists this non-coding RNA (45 nucleotides) under Schistosoma mattheei. The record is from RNAcentral. Lineage: Eukaryota; Metazoa; Platyhelminthes; Trematoda; Strigeidida; Schistosomatidae.